AGCGAACGCUGGCGGCAAGCUUAACACAUGCAAGUCGAACGCCCCGCAAGGGGAGUGGCGGACGGGUGUAUAACGCGUGGGAAUCUACCCUUCAGUUCAGGAUCACUCAGGGAAACUUGCGCUAAUACUGCCUAGUAUCUCCGGAUCAAAGAUUUAUCUCUGAAGGCUUAGCCCGCGUCUGAUUAGCUAGUUGGUGGGGUAAUGUCCUACCAAGGCAACGAUCAGUAGCUGGUCGAAGAGGAUGAUUCGCCACACUGGGACUGAGCAACGGCCGAGACUCCGACGGGAAGAAGCAGUGGGGAAUAUUGGACAAUGGGGUAAACCCUGAUCCAGCUAUGCCGCGUGAGUGAUGAAGGCCUUCGGGUUGUAAAGCUCUUUAGUCAUGGACGAUAAUGACGGUACCUGAAGAAUAAGCGCCGGCGAACUUCGUGCCAGCCGCCGCAGUAA
Molecule: ribosomal RNA, 447 nt
Filed under: uncultured bacterium
Lineage: Bacteria
Description: partial 16S ribosomal RNA
Rfam family: Bacterial small subunit ribosomal RNA
Source: RNAcentral